AUACCAAUGCUACAAAAUAUAAAAUGAUCACGCAGGUGUUUUUCCCGUGGCAUGGCUUAUCCAUUGAACCUGGAAUGUGCUAUGGUUUCCCCGAAUGUGGGAAACGCAACUUCACAAGCUUUGGUAGUUGGGGGAUGGCAUAUGUGUUCUCCCCUG
This 156-nucleotide small nuclear RNA is filed under the name Meriones unguiculatus (Mongolian gerbil). RNAcentral's name for it is "U1 spliceosomal RNA (ENSMUGG00000009142.1)". It matches the Rfam family "U1 spliceosomal RNA". From Rfam's summary of the family: U1 is a small nuclear RNA (snRNA) component of the spliceosome (involved in pre-mRNA splicing). Its 5' end forms complementary base pairs with the 5' splice junction, thus defining the 5' donor site of an intron. There are significant differences in sequence and secondary structure between metazoan and yeast U1 snRNAs, the latter being much longer (568 nucleotides as compared to 164 nucleotides in human). The record is from RNAcentral. Lineage: Eukaryota; Metazoa; Chordata; Mammalia; Rodentia; Muridae.